GGAUGUGAGGCUGAUGGCUGCGACCUGUCACCUCACUGAUCUCCAGGGUUGAUAUAAGGUGGGUGUCCUCUUCCCCAAUCACGCUCCAUGUGCAUUCCUUCUGAAGUGGUUGGUUGAAGAGGAUGUCCUUCCUCCAUAGAGGAGAACCAUUCCUUGAUAAAGGGCAGCUGUUCUCCCCUGCUAAAACCUCCAAACAAGCUCUCCAGGAGGGUUUAUGCCAGAAAUGCACCUUUGGUUCAAUAUUAGAGACACAUUGUUACUUUAAUUUACCACAUUAAGAGAUUAA
The sequence is an unclassified non-coding RNA, 286 nucleotides long. Its record names the gene 7SK. It matches the Rfam family "7SK RNA". From Rfam's summary of the family: 7SK was discovered as an abundant small nuclear RNA in the mid-70s but a possible function has only recently been suggested. Two independent studies have found that 7SK RNA binds the CDK9/cyclin T complex (known as elongation factor P-TEFb). The record is from Ensembl.